UCUCACAUCCCUUGCAUGGUGGAGGGUGAGCUCUCUGAAAACCCCUCCCACAUGCAGGGUUUGCAGGA
This is a microRNA precursor of Mesocricetus auratus (golden hamster), 68 nucleotides long. NCBI's taxonomy places the organism in Eukaryota, Metazoa, Chordata, Mammalia, Rodentia, Cricetidae. The record is from Ensembl.